Molecule: ribosomal RNA, 253 nt
Filed under: uncultured bacterium
Lineage: Bacteria
Description: partial 16S ribosomal RNA
Rfam family: Bacterial small subunit ribosomal RNA
Source: RNAcentral
UACGGAGGGUCCAAGCGUUAUCCGGAAUCAUUGGGCGUAAAGCGUCCGCAGGUGGUCAUUCAAGUCUGCUGUUAAAGACAGAAGCUCAACUUCUGAGGAGCAGUGGAAACUGGAUGACUUGAGUAUGGUAGGGGUUGAGGGAAUUCCCAGUGUAGCGGUGAAAUGCGUAGAUAUUGGGAAGAACACCAGUGGCGAAGGCGCUCAACUGGGCCAUAACUGACACUCAGAGACGAAAGCUAGGGGAGCGAAUAGG